UCGCGAAACCUUUGCAAUACACGAAAGUGUGACAGGGCUAUCCCGAGUGCCAUCCGCUGAGGAAGGCUUUUACCCAGUCUAGAAAGCUGGGGGAAUAAGGAGAGGGCAAGUCUGGUGUCAGCCGCCGCGGUAAUACCAGCUCUCCGAGUGGUGUGGAUGUUUAUUGGGCCUAAAGCAUCCGUAGCUGGCUAGGUUAGUCCCCUGUUAAAUCCACCGAAUUAAUCGUUGGAUUGCGGGGGAUACUGCUUGGCUAGGGGACGAGAGAGGCAGACGGUAUUUCCGGGGUAGGGGUGAAAUCCUAUAAUCCCGGGAGGACCACCAGUGGCGAAGGCUGUCUGCAAGAACGCGCCCGACGGUGAGGGAUGAAAGCUGGGGGAGCGAACCGGAUUAGAUACCCGGGUAGUCCCAGCUGUAAACGAUGCAGACUAGGUGUUUGGACGGCCACGUGCCGUUCUAGUGCCGCAGGGAAGCUGUUAAGUCUGCCGCCUGGGGAGUACGAUCGCAAGAUUGAAACUUAAAGGAAUUGGCGGGGG
RNAcentral lists this ribosomal RNA (533 nucleotides) under uncultured archaeon. RNAcentral's name for it is "bacterial SSU rRNA". It matches the Rfam family "Archaeal small subunit ribosomal RNA", at positions 339 to 874 of the family's 1478-position model. The record is from RNAcentral.